AUUGAACCAGCACCAGCUAUAAGGUAACCUUCCUAUUAACAGCUUUGAGAGAGCAGCACUCUUAACCAAUAGCUUUUGGCUUUGCAUGUUUAUAAUAAUUUUGAUACAAUUAAAUGCUGGCUACACUGAAAUUCUGCACAUAUGCUUUUGUUGACAACGAUGGAAGGACUUAACUAACGUGCAUCCAGGCUGGAGAAGCAGAACAGCACACCUGAGAGUGACUACGACAACACUCCCAACGACAUGGAGCCAGAUGGCAUGGGGUCAAGCCGAAAGGGACGGCAGAGAAGUAUGGUAUGGCCAGGUGAUGGCUUGGUACCAGACACAGCAGAACCCCAUGUGGCCCCAAGCCCCACUCUCCCUAGCACCGAAGAUGUCAUCAGGAAAACUGAACAGAUCACCAAAAACAUACAGGAGCUCUUAAGAGCAGCCCAAGAAAAUAAACAUGACAGUUAUAUUCCCUGCUCAGAGAGGAUACAUGUAGCUGUUACAGAAAUGGCAGCAUUAUUCCCCAAAAAACCCAAGUCUGAUAUGGUGAGGACUUCUCUUCGUUUACUGACGUCCAGUGCCUACCGACUGCAGUCAGAGUGCAAGA
This 595-nucleotide small RNA is filed under the name Pongo abelii (Sumatran orangutan). RNAcentral's name for it is "processed transcript". Lineage: Eukaryota; Metazoa; Chordata; Mammalia; Primates; Hominidae. The record is from RNAcentral.